This 301-nucleotide ribosomal RNA is filed under the name uncultured bacterium. RNAcentral's name for it is "partial 16S ribosomal RNA". It matches the Rfam family "Bacterial small subunit ribosomal RNA", at positions 509 to 807 of the family's 1533-position model. The record is from RNAcentral.
CAGCAGCCGCGGUAAUACGUAGGGUGCAAGCGUUAAUCGGAAUUACUGGGCGUAAAGCGUGCGAAGGCGGUUAUAUAAGACAGAUGUGAAAUCCCCGGGCUCAACCUGGGAACUGCAUUUGUGACUGUAUAGCUAGAGUACGGCAGAGGGGGAUGGAAUUCCGCGUGUAGCAGUGAAAUGCGUAGAUAUGCGGAGGAACACCGAUGGCGAAGGCAAUCCCCUGGGCCUGUACUGACGCUCAUGCACGAAAGCGUGGGGAGCAAACAGGAUUAGAUACCCCGGUAGUCCCUGUCUCUUAUAC